Long non-coding RNA from Oncorhynchus gorbuscha (pink salmon), 2453 nucleotides. RefSeq lists it as uncharacterized. NCBI's taxonomy places the organism in Eukaryota, Metazoa, Chordata, Actinopteri, Salmoniformes, Salmonidae. The record is from RefSeq and is a predicted model, not a curated record. The transcript is spliced from 6 exons.
CAAGCAGUGGCAGAGAGCAACAUCUUGGUCUCUCCCCAUCAACAACUGGACACACUCUGGACUUGUGGAAUGGUGUGCGUCCACAAAGCAUAAAUCAUGUUUCUGAAUUGUUAACCGAUCUACAUUUCAAAACAUCAUUUCCAAGAACUCCAUAUUCUCCAUAUCCCAGAGACGAUGGACCUAAACACAGAGGAUCUCCUUAUAGAUCUGCCAACCAGGCUCGGUGGGUGACAGGUAAGUGUUUCCACCAAUCUGUUCAAUGCCUGGAGUGGCACGCUGGAACUUCCAGAGGCUUGUAGGCCUGAAGCAGUGUGAUGUGGUACAGGUAAGUAUUACACACACAUAUACACACACUCAAUCACUUAAUCAGUUUUGUUGUAAUAAUUAUUUUAACUUAAGAAAAUUGUUCCUCUCUCUUUUAGGUCAACCACAGUCUUCACAGCUGGAGUCGUGUGCCCUGCAACUGCUAAACUGGCCAUGAAAGGUGAUACAGUCUCCCCCCAUCCUCCGCUCUGUCUCCGUCUCUCUCAUCUUUUGCUCUCUCUCUCUUGGUCUCUGUCUCCCUCUCUGUAGAAUACAGUCACUCCUUCAGUAAGGCAAGUGACAGGUGAGCCAGCCGGGAGGUGCCUGCUCUGGGCCAGAUGCUGCACUGUCUGACUGACUGCUGUCCACAUGAGUUUGAGAUGUAUGGCUGCUACUGAGGCCAGGAAGGCAAAGGGCAACCACUGAACCAGCUCGACAGGUGUUGUUUCUUCCACCGGUGCUGUGGAACAGAUCAGGACCAUGAUGUUGGGUGCUAACCUGAAAUAUACCUCUUCCUAUAUUAGAACCUACUGAUUAUGUUACAUGUAUAAUACGUGUAUAUGGUAGGGGUCAGUGAAGGGUGAAUAGUGUUAGGAUCUAAAUGAAUCAAGUCGAAACUCACGGACGACUAGUAAAGCUCAAACCAAGUUUAUUCACCCAAAGGGUCUGACAGCUGAACAGAGAAAAACAUGUUUCCACCAGCACCAGUAUUUAUACUCCAAUUUGGGUGAAGUCUCCUCCUUUCCUCUAAACAUUCCAUCUCUGUUGCUAGGCAGGAAGUUAAUAAACCGGGUAAUAAACUGUUCCUUCUCCCUUAAUGUGACCUGGGCCCCAUUACUCACUAAUCCACAGCUCUCUGCCCUUAUAAGUGACUGCAAACAUGUGAUUUCUUACCUUUACUCAGCACAUUCCAAACUUAAUUGCCUCAACCAUAUUACAUUCCUCCUACAGAUACCCAGAUAACUUCUGAUGUAGAAACCUGACUGUGUCACUCCUCAUUUCCAUAGGAUACCUGAUGAUUAAACACUAUUUCAAGUUUAGGAGUCAGAACACAUCAAUAGGAGCUUUGUAUUUGGAAGUACAAAAUGUUUGUCUGUUCAAACAUGUUAAUUUUGAAUAUGAAUAUUUCUAAGCAAGGAGGUAAAGAGCAACAGUCUCGUCUCAGUUCCUGAUAAGACAGGCCAGUGGCUGUGACACUAGGACCCGGAGGGACGUGGAACUCAACUCGAGAUAAAGCCAACAGUUGAAGAGAGAUGAAACCUCAGGGGUCCACCCUGACGACCCUUUAACGACAGUCACUCCCACACCCAUGAAGGUUCUAGACUUAAGCUGGGCCAUGACAAUACCAGUAAGAGGAACAGACUCAGUUUGUGCCUAGCAACAGAGACAGAUUGUUUAUCUCAGACAUACAAGGAGGGAACUCUGCCUAGUCGGAAGGUAUAAAUACAUGCUUGUGUGACUUGAAUGUUGUGUUUGCAGCUGAAGCAUCCAGUAGGUUGAAUAAAAUUCUUCUGAGCCUUUUCUAGUCGUCCGUUUGAGUUCAUACUCGUUUAGUUCAGAACCUAACAAUGGGUUGCAGGCGAGAGAGAAAGCUUAAUGCCCACAUCACAUGAAUUUGAGAUAUUAAUGUAGGCAUGGUUUAUAAUACAAUGUUUAAAGUUUAAAUACAAUGAACGAUGUAUUUUAAUUAAUUUUUCCACCUCUGGCAUCCCCAAGAGUCAAUGGGUGGAAGUUAGUAUAGAAUAUAUUAUAGUAUUUUAGGUCUACUGUAAGUGUGAGCAUGUUCUCCAAAUGGAAAGGUCAUUUGUGUGAGGAAAGAUGGUAUAAUAAAAGUGAGAUUGUAGUAAAGUGAGAACUAACGAUGAAGCAAUUCACGUGAAGAAGUUAAGACUAUUGUCUCGCCGGUAUUCAAUAAAUGACUAAAUAAAAAUAAACCGACAUGUUAGGAUUUGGCAAUUUGAGAAAAGCGUGGUAGUUAAAAGUUAGACCAUUGGCAAGACUGGUAAUUCAAGAAAGUGAUAUGUUUUAUUUCUGUUCAUUCUUUAAUUACUCAUGAGGUCAUGUUGAGGUUAGUGAAUCGAAACGAGGCCUUAGUGUAUAAAAAUGGCUUUUUUUUUACCUACCUGUAUAAUAAAAAUAAAUAUUCUGCA